Molecule: ribosomal RNA, 575 nt
Filed under: uncultured bacterium
Lineage: Bacteria
Description: partial 16S ribosomal RNA
Rfam family: Bacterial small subunit ribosomal RNA
Source: RNAcentral
UGAGGAAUAUUGGUCAAUGGGCGAGAGCCUGAACCAGCCAAGUCGCGUGAAGGAAGACUGCCUUAUGGGUUGUAAACUUCUUUUAUACAGGAAUAAAAAGGCUUACGUGUAGGCCAUUGCAAGUACUGUAUGAAUAAGCAUCGGCUAACUCCGUGCCAGCAGCCGCGGUAAUACGGAGGAUGCGAGCGUUAUCCGGAUUUAUUGGGUUUAAAGGGUGCGCAGGCGGGCUUUUAAGUCAGCGGUGAAAUCUGGACGCUUAACGUCCAAACUGCCGUUGAAACUGGGAGUCUUGAGUAUGGAUGAAGUAGGCGGAAUUCGUUGUGUAGCGGUGACAUGCAUAGAUAUAACGAGGAACUCCGAUUGCGCAGGCAGCUUACUAAGCCAUAACUGACGCUCAUGCACGAAAGCGUGGGGAUCAAACAGGAUUAGAUACCCUGGUAGUCCACGCCGUAAAACGAUGAUUACUAGUUGUAUGCGAUAUGAUAGUAUGUGACUAAGCGAAAGCGAUAAGUAAUCCACCUGGGGGAGUACGCCGGCAACGGUGAAACUCAAAGGAAUUGACGGGGUCAUAGCUG